CUGGGCCCCUCAGUCUGCUCAUGUCUUCGCCUGCAGCACCAUCUUCCAGGGCUCUGCAGUGUGUGUGUACAGCAUGAACGACGUGCGCCGGGCCUUCCUGGGGCCCUUUGCACACAAGGAAGGGCCCAUGCACCAGUGGGUGUCCUACCAGGGCCGUGUCCCCUACCCCCGGCCUGGCAUGGUGCGUAGCCCCAGGAGUCCCACCACAACCCACUUAAAGUCUCAGGGGUGGAAAACUUGGCCUGGGAUCUUCUUGGUGAAUGUGUUUUUUUCCUUCCGUUAUGGGUGGGAAAACAUCACCUUUGUCAGACAGGGCUCCUCAGAGGAAGGGCAUAUUUCCCCCUAAGAGUCCCAAGGGCAAGUCUGGGUCUUCUCUCUUCAGAUUCUCAGGGCAGACCUCUGUCCAUUAGCACUCCUCUAUACUCGGGUACCUGGAGGUCUCUUGUGGACCCACCAGGCCCUCGUACCCACAUCCCUGUCGUGCCUCCUCCCCACCUGCCCAGUGUCCCAGCAAGACCUUUGGCACCUUCAGUUCUACCAAGGACUUUCCUGAUGACGUCAUUCAAUUUGCCCGGAACCACCCCCUCAUGUACAAUUCGGUCCUGCCCAUGGGUGGUCGCCCUCUCUUCAUACAAGUGGAUGCCGGGUACACCUUCACCCAGAUCACUGCAGACCGUGUAGCAGCUGCUGACGGACACUACGACGUCCUCUUCAUUGGCACAGGUCAGUGUCCUGCCAUGACUACCCAUAAAACUCUGUCCAGACUCUCUUCCACCUGUCAGCAGAAGCUGCCCCUGCCCAGUCCCAUCUUCACAUCUUUGCCUGGGUUGUGCUCUCAUCUCCUUCUGGAUGCUGGUCUGAUUGUUCCAACCCACAUUCUUCACCUAUCCAACCAUGCUAAGGGUAAAGGCCUCAGAAGUGAGGAGAUCCCCAGCCCUAGCUGCCAGGAAACACAAGGAAUCACUCAUUCCUCAUCCCUGCAGACGCUGGCACAGUGCUGAAGGUGAUCUCCGUCCCCAAGGGCAGCCAGCCUAACGGGGAGGGGCUGCUCUUGGAGGAGCUGCACGUUUUUGAGGUGAGGCCUAGCCCCCUCCUCCUAGAGGAACCCUACCCCAUUGAUCUCUGAUCCCAGCGCUCGCUCCUCCUCCUCCUCCUCUCAGGAUUCAUCUGCUAUCACCAGCAUGCAAAUCUCUUCCAAGAGGGUAAGUGACCAAAAGGCUUGGGAGCAGAAGGGACCCAGUGUGUUCCCCGGGCACCCCUACCCCCACACCUCCCUUGGUAGUUUGAAGCACUGGGUUUGAGUAUAGGUUCUGCCUUUGCUAGACUGCGUGACCUGAGACCCUGAUCAGUGUCAAGUGGGGUGAGGGAUCCCUGACCAAUGGGAGGCGGGCACAGGGCUGCCUUCGGUCAGCCCGGAGCCCCUCGUGCCCCCUAGCACCAGCUGUACAUAGCUUCGCGGAGCGCGGUCGCCCAGAUCCCGUUGCACCUCUGUGCUGCCCACGGCCGCGCCUGUGCGGAAUGCUGCCUUGCGCGCGACCCUUACUGCGCCUGGGACGGGGCCGCGUGCACGCGCUUUCAGCCCAGCGCUAAAAGGUGGGCAGGGUUGGGGGCGGGCCACCUGGAAUCAUUUGCAGCACCUGGCUAAAUGAAGAAGGACUCACCGAGGCUCUAAUGUACCAAUGCAACCCCCACCCUGCAGGCGGUUCCGGCGGCAAGACGUGAGGAAUGGCGACCCCAGCACGCUGUGCUCCGGCGGUGAGUGCCCCCAGCUGCCCCACUUCUGGGCCUUUGAAGACGCCCCACCCUGCCCUGCCUGAAUCUGACAUUCCUUUGCCCUCCCCAGAUUCCUCUCAUCCCGCACUGCUGGAGCGGAAGGUGUUCGGUGUGGAGGGCGGAAGCGCCUUCCUGGAGUGUGAGCCCCGCUCGCUGCAGGCGCGCGUGGAAUGGACCUUCCAGCGCGCAGGGGAGGCGACCCACACCCAGGUGAGCCUCACGCCCUCCCUUCCCAAACAAGCCCUUGUCCCGCCCCCUACAUCCAGGAGAGCCCCGCCUUGCCAGUGUGGUUCCCACUUCUAGACUAGGUCCGACCCCGCCCAGUGAGACUCUGUCCAGCUAGACCCCUUACGUCCAGUUUGGUCCCUUACCUGAACUCCACGUUCUGGUGAGGCCCCAUUCCAUCUAACUAGACUCCUGACACCCCCCUCCCCCAUCCGAGAGGAGCCCCGCCCAUUGAGGCCCCCGCCCCGCCCCCAUGUUCAGGUAACCCCUCCCCCCCCCCACCUCCAGUCCAGUCCCGUCCGGUCUCGUCCGGUCCGGUAAGAGUUUCCGCUUUUAGACCACUGGUCCCAGUGCACCCAACCUUCAAAGGUACACCUGCGAGAGUCCCUUACCUGCUCAUGCUUGGCCACCGUUGACCCUCUACCUCUCCUGGCCCGACCUGGGAGCCGGGUUUCCUUGUUCCUGACACCGAUGCCUUUGCCUCCCACUGGCCCCGCCUGCAGGUAGCUAUGGAGGAGCGCGCGGAGCGCCUUACGGGGGGACUGCUGCUGCGCGGACUGAGGCGCGGGGAUUCUGGCGUGUACCUGUGCGCAGCUGUGGAGCAGGGCUUUUCGCAGUCGCUGCGUCGCCUGGUGCUACACGUGCUGAGUGCUGCGCAGGCCGAAAGGCUGGCCCGGACCGAGGAGGCUGUGCCCGUAGCCCCUCCAGGCCCCAGGCUCUGGUACCGGGACUUCCUGCAGCUGGUGGAGCCGGGCGGCGGUGGCGCGAGUUCCCUGCGAAUGUGUCGUCUGCAGCCUGAGUCGCGCCCACCGCCUCCCGAGUCACGGAGGAAGGGCCGAAACCGGCGAAGGCACGCCCCAGAGCCGCGUGCUGAGCGGGGGCCGCGCAGCGCAGCGCACUGGUGAUUCGGCAGUCCACGCCGGGUACAGGGAAGGAGGCUACAGGCAGGACAGGGGGAGGACAGACCGUGGAGGACGCACAGCUAGGGGGCCUGGCACAUUGGUCCCUGGUUGAUGGAGACACCGACCUACAGGCCCUGGCUGAGGGGCAGCCUCCCCGGCUUAUUUAUUA
This 3069-nucleotide long non-coding RNA is filed under the name Lynx pardinus (Iberian lynx). Lineage: Eukaryota; Metazoa; Chordata; Mammalia; Carnivora; Felidae. The record is from RNAcentral.